Molecule: ribosomal RNA, 432 nt
Filed under: uncultured bacterium
Lineage: Bacteria
Description: bacterial SSU rRNA
Rfam family: Bacterial small subunit ribosomal RNA
Source: RNAcentral
UGACUGAGUGGCGGACGGGUGAGUAACGACGUGGGCGAACCUGCCCCAUUAUGGGGGAGUAGCAGUUGGAAACGACUGGUAAUACCGCAUAAGCGCACGGGAAGGCAUCUUUCUGUGUGAAAAGAUUUAUCGUAAUGGGAUGGACCCGCGUCUGAUUAGAUAGUUGGUGAGGUAACGGCCCACCAAGUCGACGAUCAGUAGCCGGACUGAGAGGUCGGACGGCCACAUUGGGACUGAGAGACGGCCCAAACUCCUACGGGAGGCAGCAGUGGGGGAUAUUGCACAAUGGGGGGAACCCUGAUGCAGCGACGCCGCCGUGAGUGAAGAAGUAUUUCGGUAUGUAAAGCUCUAUCGACAGGGAAGAAAGGCCCCGCAAGGGGAGAUGACGGUACCUGAAUAAGAAGCCCCGGCUAACUACGUGCCAGCAGCCGC